CCUACGGGUGGCAGCAGUGAGGAAUAUUGGUCAAUGGGCGGGAGCCUGAACCAGCCAAGUCGCGUGAGGGACGACGGUCCUAUGGAUUGUAAACCUCUUUUGUCGGGGAACAAAGGCGUCCACGGGUGGGCGGAUGAGUGUACCCGAAGAAAAAGCCUCGGCUAACUCCGUGCCAGCAGCCGCGGUAAUACGGAGGAUGCGAGCGUUAUCCGGAUUUAUUGGGUUUAAAGGGUGCGUAGGCGGACUGUCAAGUCAGCGGUAAAAAUGCGGUGCUCAACGCCGUACAGCCGUUGAAACUGGUGGUCUUGAGUGGGCGAGAAGUAUGCGGAAUGCGUGGUGUAGCGGUGAAAUGCAUAGAUAUCACGAGGAACCCCGAUUGCGAAGGCAGCCUGCCGGGGUGCGACUGACGCUGAGGCUCGAAGGUGCGGGUAUCAAACAGGAUUAGAUACCCUUGUAGUC
Molecule: ribosomal RNA, 459 nt
Filed under: uncultured bacterium
Lineage: Bacteria
Description: partial 16S ribosomal RNA
Rfam family: Bacterial small subunit ribosomal RNA
Source: RNAcentral